GACGAACGCUGGCGGCGUGCUUAACACAUGCAAGUCGAACGGAAAGGCCCUGCUUUUGUGGGGUGCUCGAGUGGCGAACGGGUGAGUAACACGUGAGUAACCUGCCCUUGACUUUGGGAUAACUUCAGGAAACUGGGGCUAAUACCGGAUAGGAGCUCCUGCUGCAUGGUGGGGGUUGGAAAGUUUCGGCGGUUGGGGAUGGACUCGCGGCUUAUCAGCUUGUUGGUGGGGUAGUGGCUUACCAAGGCUUUGACGGGUAGCCGGCCUGAGAGGGUGACCGGCCACAUUGGGACUGAGCUACGGCCCAGACUCCUACGGGAGGCAGCAGUGGGGAAGAUUGCACAAUGGGCGGAAGCCUGAUGCAGCAACGCCGCAUGCGGGAUGACGGCCUUCGGGUUGUAGACCGCUUUCGCCUGUGACGAAGCGUGAGUGACGGUAAUGGGUAAAGAAGCACCGGCUAACUACGUG
Molecule: ribosomal RNA, 468 nt
Filed under: uncultured bacterium
Lineage: Bacteria
Description: partial 16S ribosomal RNA
Rfam family: Bacterial small subunit ribosomal RNA
Source: RNAcentral